This 429-nucleotide ribosomal RNA is filed under the name Chloroflexota bacterium. Its description in RNAcentral is "Chloroflexi bacterium partial 16S ribosomal RNA". It matches the Rfam family "Bacterial small subunit ribosomal RNA", at positions 355 to 776 of the family's 1533-position model. The record is from RNAcentral. Lineage: Bacteria; Bacillati; Chloroflexota.
UGGGGAAUAUUGCACAAUGGGCGCAAGCCUGAUGCAGCCAUGCCGCGUGUAUGAAGAAGGCUUUCGGGUUGUAAAGUACUUUCAGUCGGGAGGAAGGUGGUAAGGUUAAUAACCUUAUCAAUUGACGUUACCGACAGAAGAAGCACCGGCUAACUCCGUGCCAGCAGCCGCGGUAAUACGGAGGGUGCAAGCGUUAAUCGGAAUUACUGGGCGUAAAGCGCACGCAGGCGGUUGAUUGAGUCAGAUGUGAAAUCCCCGGGCUUAACCCGGGAAUUGCAUCUGAUACUGGUCAGCUAGAGUCUUGUAGAGAGGGGUAGAAUUCCAUGUGUAGCGGUGAAAUGCGUAGAGAUGUGGAGGAAUACCGGUGGCGAAGGCGGCCCCCUGAACAAAGACUGACGCACAGGUGCGAAAGCGUGGGGAGCAAACAGG